GCCCUAGUAGCUUAACGCACAAAGCACCGGUUUUGUAAUCCGAAGACUGAAGAUUCAAAUUCUUCCUAGCGCU
Molecule: transfer RNA, 73 nt
Filed under: Simenchelys sp. YL-2021
Lineage: Eukaryota; Metazoa; Chordata; Actinopteri; Anguilliformes; Synaphobranchidae
Description: tRNA-Thr
Rfam family: tRNA
About the family: Transfer RNA (tRNA) molecules are approximately 80 nucleotides in length.
Source: RNAcentral